Non-coding RNA from Sus scrofa (pig), 935 nucleotides. The record is from RefSeq and is a predicted model, not a curated record. Lineage: Eukaryota; Metazoa; Chordata; Mammalia; Artiodactyla; Suidae.
AACUCAUGGACUGAACUGGGAAGUAUGACUUUGUUCUCCGUUGCUGCGGUCCUGGGUAUUAAGGCUCCCUGUGUCCACUUCUUGUUACAGUGAUGGAUGUUUCUGAAGCCACAGAGCAGCAUACCAUACCUACUUACAGUGGAAUGUGGAGGCAGGAUGUGGGAAGGAUUUUUUUUUUGUCUCAAUAACCACCUCCUCUCCACACCCCACCCCAGUUUAUGCCUCAUCUACACAGAAGGAGUUACAUCAGUAUUAUCAAGCCAUGCCCACUGGGUCAAAACAGAGACCUUGUGGUGAAGUCCAGCCCUCUCACCCAUUUCCCAGAUGAAGAAACCAAGUCCCAGAGGAGAAAGUGUCUUGAUUAUAUGAACUUGAGAAGUUGAUUCUAAAAUUUACAUGGAAAUACAAAGGAUCUGAAACAGCCCAACAUUUUGAGAACAAAGAGUAUGUCAUACUGAAACGAAAAAUUUAUUCAUGAAAAAUUCUACCUAGACACUGGCAGAGAUCCAAGAGGCGGAUGGUACGCUAUGCUGGUGAGUGUAAACGGGCAUUCUACUACAUCGAAGGUGUGUACGACUCCUUUGGAGGACAAUCUGACAUAUCUAGUUACAUAUGCACAUAUCUUUUAAAAAUUUUAUAGGCUUUAUUUUUUAGAACAAUUUUAGGUUCACAGCAAAACUGAGCAGAAAGCACAGAAAGUUCCUACAUACCCUGCCAGCCACUCCCCCACCAUCCACAUUCCUCAUUAGUAUGGAUCAGCACUGACCCAGCAGGAUCAACCCAAGACCAUAGUUUACAUGAGGGUUCACCCUUUGUGUUGUUCCUUCUAUGGAUUUUGACAAGUGUGUGAGGACACAUAUCUACCAUUAUAUAGUAUCACAUGGAAUAGUUUCCCUGCUCUAAAAGCUUCCCAGUCUCCAUAUAUUUAUCCCUCC